CUCCUCCUAUCUUUCUGAAUACUUUUUGGUCUGGUUUCAGACCAGAUCUUGCGAGAAGCUCUGUAAAGGAAAAUACACAACAAAUAAUAAGUGGAAUGAAAUGGAUAAAUGCAUAAAGAGCUAGCUGGCCAGAGUGACCUGCCCUCAUGAGUUUAUCUCACUUACCUGUCUUACUGAUACUCUUCCUGGUCUCAGGGAGACCCUCUAAGUCACUGGUGUGUGACUGGGGCUCUUUGCCCAGCCGUUCUGCCAUUUGAAAAUUUCCAGUCAAGAUUUAGUCACUGCACAUUUUUGAGAGUCCUCUAAUCAGAGAAAUUAACUCUCAUCAGACACAGGAAUUAAUCUUUGUUAGUGUUGUUGUCAGUCUAACUUUGCCUUCCUCAGUGCCAGACGUGGAGAGAGGGACGCCCUCACAGGGAGCUGCCACCACCACUGGCAGAGACCUCAGGGAUGCAGGCAGGGCUUCACUGAAAGAAUGGGGGGUGGCCUCUGCUUCUCCCUGAGUUGAAGGGUGUGUGGAAUCCCCGAGGAACUCUCUGGUGUUCAGCCCUGGGCUGUGCUAUAUGCAGGGCUCUAAAAACGCUGGCUGACUUGACUGUAUGAAUACAGUUAUGGCAGGGAGGGAGGGGAGGUGCUUUGGGAAGGAUACCACAGCAAAGUGGCAACCAGCUAAGAAUCAGUGACAGCACACGAUGAGGGGCAGCAGGGAGAGGAUUCUUUACUGGUUCACCAGUUUGUUAAAAAUACAGACCUGUUUUAUUUAUUUCAUUUUAUUUUUUGACAGGUCUUGCUUUGUUGCCAACGCUGGGGUACAGUGGCACAAUUUUAGCUCAUGGCAACCUUUGCCUCCUGGGCUCAAGUGAUCCUCCAGGUAAGGAGGCAACCUUAGCUCCUGGCUAAUUCUUGUAUUUUUUGUAGAGACGAGGUUUUCCCAUGUUCCCUGGGCUGUUAUCAAACUCCUAGACUCAAGCGAUCUGCACGCCUUGGCCUCCCAAAGUGCUGAGGUUACAGGAGUGAGCCACCACGCCUGGCGCAGACCUCUCUUUUGAAGUCAUCUUUCAAUGGGUGUGGGUGUGGGGUGUGUGGCAGUGAGGGUGAGGACAGACCCUCAGGUGCAUUUGUGGAAGUUUGGGGCCAACUUCAAGAUUCAGAGAAUCAUAGCCAUUUUGGUUGUAGAGAAACUGUAAUGCUCGGAGAAUCAGAUUGCUGCAGAGUAAAUAAACGUGAUGUUAACACCAUCAUCCAUAAUAUAUAUUUCAUAUCCUCUCAUUUGCUCAUGAAAAAUAUAUUAUGUAGACUUGUCUAUUAUCAUCAUAUUCAUUCGCCCACAGCACUUGAUUUUGUUAGUGUCAAGCUAGCUCUAUAUUCAAGUCAGUAGUCCUCAGCUAUUGUCAUCAGCAUUCUAGAACAUCUUUUCAUUUUAAGUUACAUUUUCUUAUAUACAUGUUUCUUUUGCAGGAUUAGAAAAUUUGGGGGCCUUUGUUUCUGAGUGAGGAGUAGUAAGGAAAGCACUGGGAAUCAGGAGAGAUGACUCCCGUCUUGUCUUCUCAUGGCGUACUCUGUGACCCUGGGAAAUUCACAUCCUCUCUGGUCAGUUUCUCCAUCUGUAAAAUGUGGGUAUUAGACGAGACAAUCUCUAAGGUCUCUUCUAAUCUUUACUUUGUCUGUGAGUUGUUACUGAGAAAGUAGAGCAGGCAAAUGGGCUUAGAUAUCUAUGGCCAAGAAGGAGAUCACAGUUCCUGGAUAAUAUGGGACACAGUGGCCAGCAUAUAAGUUGCUCCGUGGCCACACUUCAGAGCCGCAGGAGGAUCCCACCUGGAUAGGGCUCUGUUUCAUACUCUCCAUUUCUUGGAUGAUUGCUUUCUUUGCUACUGGGAUUAAAAAAAAAAAAGAAAAAAA
Macaca fascicularis (crab-eating macaque) is the source of this 1899-nucleotide long non-coding RNA. The record is from Ensembl. Lineage: Eukaryota; Metazoa; Chordata; Mammalia; Primates; Cercopithecidae.